CUGCACCGCCUUCGGCUUCACCAGGAGGUAGUACGCGUAGACGGCCGCUGCGAACCGGACCGGGUUGUCGGUCCCCUUCGUGUGCCGGAAGACCGCCUCCAUCUGCGCGGCUCCCGCGAGAAGCCGCUCCACGCGGACCCCCGCGGCGGCGAGCGGGAAGAGCCCCACCGGCGAGAGGACGGAGAAGCGGCCGCCCACGUUCGGCGGAACGGCGUAGCUUUUCAGCCCCUCCGCGUCCGCCAUCCGGCGGAAGACCCCCCUCGAAGGAUCGGUGACGAGGAUCAGCCGCUCCCUCCAACGGGACCCGACGGCUUUCUUCAACGCGGCGAUCGCGAGCGCAAGCUGGGCGUUCGUCUCCGCCGUCCCGCCCGACUUGCUGAUGGCCACCACGGCGGUCUUCUUCAUCGGGAGCUUUCCCAGGAGGGGGAAGAAGGCGUCGGGAUCGACGUUGUCCCCCACGGAGAGCGCCAUCCCGGGGCGUCCCUCGCCUCCGACCGCUCGUGCACCGCCUUCGUCCCCAGCGCCGAACCGCCGAUGCCGAGGACGAGGAGGUGGGUGCAUUUCGCCCGAAGGGCCGCGGCGUCCCGGGAGAUCGCCCGGGCCUCCUUCUCGAGGAACGGCAGAUCGGGGAAGCCGAUCUCCCCGCGUCGAUGCUUCCCGCGAGCGUUUCCACCGCGUCGUCGACCAUCGCGAUCAUCUUCCGGAAGUCGGCGCGGCGAUCCCGUCGCCUCCCCGAAGGUUGCUCUCUCCCACGAGGGAGAAAUCGAAGCGAAACCGGAUCCCGUCGCCCAUAACGCCCUCCUUGUCCCUACCUGCCCGAUUCCGCGGCCGCCUGACGCCGGUACCAGUCGACGAACAGCGCGACACCGCGCCCGAUCGGCGUGCGCGGGUCGUAGCCGAUCUCCUCCCUGGCGCGGGAGAUGUCCGCGUACGUCACCGGGACGUCCCCGGGCUGCGGCGGUUUGAAAUUCCGAACGGCGGCCUUCCCGCAGGCCGUCUCGAUCAGCCCGACCAGGUCCGAAAGGGAGAUCGUGGCCGACUCGCCGAGGUUAUAGACCCGGUACCCCGGGGGCGCGGUCAGGGCGCCGAGGACCCCGGAGACGACGUCUUCGAUAUAGGUGUAAUCCCUCCGGGAGGAGCCGUCGCCGUACAGGUCGAUCCCCUUCCCGUCCAGGAUCCGGCGGGUGAACUUGUGGAUCGCCAUCUCGGGGCGCUGGCGGGGACCGUACACGGUGAAGAAGCGCAGGGCCGCGACGUUCAUCCCGUACAGGUGGCAGUACGUGUGGCAGAGAAGCUCGCCCGCCUUCUUCGUCGCAGCGUAGGGACUCACCGGGUGAUCGACGAAGUCGUCCUCGGAGAAGGGAACCUUCGUAUUUCCGCCGUAGACGGACGAGGAAGAUGCGAAGAGAAUUUUCGGAACCUUCCGCUCCCGGGCCCACUCGAGGAUCCGGAUCGUGCCGUGGAUGUUCACGUCCGCGUAGCCGACGGGAUCGGCGACCGAGGGGUGCACCCCGGCCUUCGCGGCCAGGUGGAUCAGCGCGUCCGCAGGGAUCCCCUCCCCCCAGCGGGAGAGGGCGGAGGCGUCGCGGAUAUCCCCCUCGAGGAAGGAGAACGAAGGGUGCGCUAAAGCUUUGCCAGGUUGCGCUCUUUGAUCCUCCGGUCGUAGAACGGGUCGAAGUUGUCGAUCCCGUGGACCCGGUCUCCGCGGGCGAGAAGCGCUUCCGUUACAAGCGAACCGAUGAAGCCGGCGACGCCGGUGACGAACACGUUCAGGGGCACGCUGGACCUCCCGGGUUACACCACCCCCUCGUUUCUCCAUCAAUACUAUCCCAGAAGCG
RNAcentral lists this unclassified non-coding RNA (1838 nucleotides) under uncultured fungus. Its description in RNAcentral is "sequence contains 18S rRNA gene, ITS1, 5.8S rRNA gene, ITS2, 28S rRNA gene". The record is from RNAcentral. Lineage: Eukaryota; Fungi.